GGGCCUCUCACUCUGAUGCGUGCACUCUUCACGAUUUUCUUUCCUCGCCGCUGUCUCUCGUCGUUGUUUUUGUGCGCCCGUCCCAAUAAAUAAAUAAAAUGACUUACUGGAGGCAAGCUGGUCUGAACUACCUGCAGUACUCUGCCAUCGCGGCACGUGUGCUGCGGCAGGCCCUCAAGUCCGACGUGAAGAAGGUGACCACCGACGGCCCCGUCACCCUCAAAGUCACCCACUGGAAGGACGGCAAAGCCAUCAGCAAGUCCCUGUAACAUGGUGGCGAGAGCAAGUGGUGGAGUGAGCGGGGAGUGCUGCCGGCGGCCGACCACUGCAGCGGAAAGGAAUCACACCGGUGUGAAUGAUGUGUGCUCCGCAUAGCACGCGCCCUUCGGACCGCGGAGGGCCCUCCUAGUGAUCACCUCCGAGACAAAUAUUGCCUGUCGUCUUUGUGAAUAAUAUACGAUGUCUGAGGCCUGUGA
This is a long non-coding RNA of Amphibalanus amphitrite, 476 nucleotides long. RefSeq lists it as uncharacterized. The record is from RefSeq and is a predicted model, not a curated record. NCBI's taxonomy places the organism in Eukaryota, Metazoa, Arthropoda, Thecostraca, Balanomorpha, Balanidae. The transcript is spliced from 4 exons.